Molecule: ribosomal RNA, 232 nt
Filed under: uncultured bacterium
Lineage: Bacteria
Description: partial 16S ribosomal RNA
Rfam family: Bacterial small subunit ribosomal RNA
Source: RNAcentral
GCAAGUCGUGCGAGAAAGUAUCUUCGGAGCGAGUAGAGUGGCGAACGGGUGAGUAACGCGUGGGAAUCUGCCUAAUAGUGGGGGACAACCAGUGGAAACGCUGGCUAAUACCGCAUACGCCCUACGGGGCAAAGACUUCGGUCGCUAUUAGAUGAGCCCGCGUCGGAUUAGCUUGUUGGUAGGGUAAAAGCCUACCAAGGCGACGAUCUGUAGCUGGUCUGAGAGGAUGAUC